UACGUAGGGGGCAAGCGUUGUCCGGAAUCAUUGGGCGUAAAGCGCGUGUAGGCGGCUCGGUAAGUCCGCUCUGAAAGUCCGGGGCUCAACCCCGGGAGGCGGGUGGAUACUGUCGAGCUCGAGUCCGGAAGAGGCGAGUGGAAUUCCUGGUGUAGCGGUGAAAUGCGCAGAUAUCAGGAGGAACACCGAUGGCGAAGGCAGCUCGCUGGGACGUGACCGACGCUGAGACGCGAAAGCGUGGGGAGCAAACAGG
RNAcentral lists this ribosomal RNA (253 nucleotides) under uncultured bacterium. RNAcentral's name for it is "partial 16S ribosomal RNA". It matches the Rfam family "Bacterial small subunit ribosomal RNA", at positions 524 to 776 of the family's 1533-position model. The record is from RNAcentral.